CUGAAACCGUGUACGUACAAGCAGUGGGAGCACGCUUAGGCGUGUGACUGCGUACCUUUUGUAUAAUGGGUCAGCGACUUAUAUUCUGUAGCAAGGUUAACCGAAUAGGGGAGCCGAAGGGAAACCGAGUCUUAACUGGGCGUUAAGUUGCAGGGUAUAGACCCGAAACCCGGUGAUCUAGCCAUGGGCAGGUUGAAGGUUGGGUAACACUAACUGGAGGACCGAACCGACUAAUGUUGAAAAAUUAGCGGAUGACUUGUGGCUGGGGGUGAAAGGCCAAUCAAACCGGGAGAUAGCUGGUUCUCCCCGAAAGCUAUUUAGGUAGCGCCUCGUGAAUUCAUCUCCGGGGGUAGAGCACUGUUUCGGCAAGGGGGUCAUCCCGACUUACCAACCCGAUGCAAACUGCGAAUACCGGAGAAUGUUAUCACGGGAGACACACGGCGGGUGCUAACGUCCGUCGUGAAGAGGGAAACAACCCAGACCGCCAGCUAAGGUCCCAAAGUCAUGGUUAAGUGGGAAACGAUGUGGGAAGGCCCAGACAGCCAGGAUGUUGGCUUAGAAGCAGCCAUCAUUUAAAGAAAGCGUAAUAGCUCACUGGUCGAGUCGGCCUGCGCGGAAGAUGUAACGGGGCUAAACCAUGCACCGAAGCUGCGGCAGCGACACUGUGUGUUGUUGGGUAGGGGAGCGUUCUGU
Molecule: ribosomal RNA, 693 nt
Filed under: Escherichia coli
Lineage: Bacteria; Pseudomonadati; Pseudomonadota; Gammaproteobacteria; Enterobacterales; Enterobacteriaceae
Description: partial 23S ribosomal RNA
Rfam family: Bacterial large subunit ribosomal RNA
Source: RNAcentral